AUGAAGGACGUUACUAACGACGAUAUGCUUUGGGUAGCUGUAAGUAAGCGUUGAUCCAGAGAUUUCCGAAUGGGGGAACCCAGCAUGAGUUAUGUCAUGUUAUCGACAUGUGAAUUCAUAGCAUGUCAGAAGGCAGACCCGGAGAACUGAAACAUCUUAGUACCCGGAGGAAGAGAAAGAAAAAUCGAUUCCCUGAGUAGCGGCGAGCGAAACGGGAAGAGCCCAAACCAACAAGCUUGCUUGUUGGGGUUGUAGGACACUCUAUACGGAGUUACAAAAGAACAUGUUAGACGAAUCAUCUGGAAAGAUGAAUCAAAGAAGGUAAUAAUCCUGUAGUCGAAAACAUAUUCUCUCUUGAGUGGAUCCUGAGUACGACGGAGCACGUGAAAUUCCGUCGGAAUCUGGGAGGACCAUCUCCUAAGGCUAAAUACUCUCUAGUGACCGAUAGUGAACCAGUACCGUGAGGGAAAGGUGAAAAGUACCCCGGAAGGGGAGUGAAAGAGAACUUGAAACCGUGUGCUUACAAGUAGUCAGAGCCCGUUAAUGGGUGAUGGCGUGCCUUUUGUAGAAUGAACCGGCGAGUUACGAUCUGAUGCAAGGUUAAGCAGCAAAUGUGGAGCCGCAGCGAAAGCGAGUCUGAAUAGGGCGUUGAGUAUUUGGUCGUAGACCCGAAACCAGGUGAUCUACCCUUGGUCAGGUUGAAGUUCAGGUAACACUGAAUGGAGGACCGAACCGACUUACGUUGAAAAGUGAGCGGAUGAACUGAGGGUAGCGGAGAAAUUCCAAUCGAACUUGGAGAUAGCUGGUUCUCUCCGAAAUAGCUUUAGGGCUAGCCUCAAGUGAUGAUUAUUGGAGGUAGAGCACUGUUUGGACGAGGGGCCCCUCUCGGGUUACCGAAUUCAGACAAACUCCGAAUGCCAAUUAAUUUAACUUGGGAGUCAGAACAUGGGUGAUAAGGUACGAGUUCGAAAGGGAAAAAGCCCAGACCACCAGCUAAGGUCCCAAA
Molecule: ribosomal RNA, 1006 nt
Filed under: Staphylococcus epidermidis
Lineage: Bacteria; Bacillati; Bacillota; Bacilli; Caryophanales; Staphylococcaceae
Description: bacterial LSU rRNA
Rfam family: Bacterial large subunit ribosomal RNA
Source: RNAcentral